GACGAACGCUGGCGGCGUGCCUAAUACAUGCAAGUCGAGCGAUUCUCUUCGGAGAAGAGCGGCGGACGGGUGAGUAACGCGUGGGUAACCUGCCCUGUACACACGGAUAACAUACCGAAAGGUAUGCUAAUACGAGAUAAUAUGCUUUUAUCGCAUGGUAGAAGUAUCAAAGCUCCGGCGGUACAGGAUGGACCCGCGUCUGAUUAGCUAGUUGGUAAGGUAACGGCUUACCAAGGCGACGAUCAGUAGCCGACCUGAGAGGGUGAUCGGCCGCAUUGGAACUGAGACACGGUCCAAACUCCUACGGGAGGCAGCAGUGGGGAAUAUUGCACAAUGGGCGAAAGCCUGAUGCAGCAACGCCGCGUGAGCGAUGAAGGCCUUCGGGUCGUAAAGCUCAGUCCUCAAGGAAGAUAAUGACGGUACUUGAGGAGGAAGCCCCGGCUAACUACGUGCCAGCCGCCGCAGUAA
This 468-nucleotide ribosomal RNA is filed under the name uncultured bacterium. RNAcentral's name for it is "partial 16S ribosomal RNA". It matches the Rfam family "Bacterial small subunit ribosomal RNA", at positions 28 to 523 of the family's 1533-position model. The record is from RNAcentral.